UACGUAGGGUGCGAGCGUUGUCCGGAUUUAUUGGGCGUAAAGGGUGCGUAGGCGGUCGGGUAAGUCUGAUGUGAAAUCCCACAGCUUAACUGUGAAACUGCAUUGGAUACUAUCCGGCUCGAGGAAUGGAGGGGAGACUGGAGUACUUGGUGUAGCAGUGAAAUGCGUAGAUAUCAAGUGGAACACCAGUGGCGAAGGCGAGUCUCUGGACAUUUCCUGACGCUGAGGCACGAAAGCCAGGGGAGCAAACGGG
RNAcentral lists this ribosomal RNA (253 nucleotides) under uncultured bacterium. RNAcentral's name for it is "partial 16S ribosomal RNA". It matches the Rfam family "Bacterial small subunit ribosomal RNA", at positions 524 to 776 of the family's 1533-position model. The record is from RNAcentral.